AAAAACAUUUCUCAUCGUUGCCUUACUUAUCAGAUGUUUCGUGAAGAACUUCAGUAUAAGUAAAUAUCAUUUUUGACGUGAAAGUGAAUAGUGUGAGUGGUUAACAGCAAGUUCCAAAUUUGUUGAGUGGCGUGACGCACUUUUGAUAAAUAUAAAGUUAUAGGAAUGGGAAGAAUAAAAAAGAAUGUUUCUAUUCUUGUGAUAAUAUCUUUUUUAAUCGAAACAAAUGGCUUUUAUGUACCGGGUGUUGCACCAGUUGAAUUUAAGAAUGGGCAAAAAAUUGAUGUUAAAGCAGUUAAAAUGACAAGUACUCAUACACAAUUACCAUAUGAGUAUUAUUCGCUCAAGUUUUGUAGACCAAAGAAUGGAACAUUUAUUUAUAAAUCUGAAAAUUUGGGAGAAGUGUUACGUGGUGAUAGAAUUGUAAAUACACCAUAUGAAGUUAUGAUGAAACAAGAUAUAAACUGUAGGUUUUUAUGUCAUGGACCAAACAAUCCAAUGACAUGGAACGAUGAAGAAUCUCAAUGUGCAAUAGAACGUAUUCAGCACGAUUACUCAGUGCAUCUAUUAAUAGAUAAUUUGCCAGCUGCUACCAAGAAAUUUGUUAAAGGAACUAAUGGAGAAGUAGUUUAUCAUGGAUAUAGAUUAGGAGGUGUUAUAGGUGAUCAAGUUUAUAUUAAUAAUCAUUUGACAUUAAAAUUAGGAUACCAUGAACAUGGAGAAAAUCAAUUUAGAGUAGUAGAAUUUGAAGUGGAAGCUCGAUCAGUAGAUAUAAGUAAAUUGAAUUAUGAUGGAAACAAGUGUAUAUUACCAUCUCAAACAAGUCCUCAGUUUAUUAAUCCUAAAGGUACUAGACUGCUAUUCUUAUAUUCCGUGAAGUGGAAAAAAUCAGAUGUGAGUUGGGCAAGCAGAUGGGACACAUAUCUAGGAAUGAAUGAUGUUAAAAUUCAUUGGUUUUCUAUUAUAAAUUCACUCAUUGUAGUUUUUUUUCUAUAUGGUAUUUUUAUUACGAUCAUGGUAAGGACUCUUAAAAGAGAUAUAGCUCGUUAUAAUGCAGGUGAUAAUGAUAGUCUAGCUGGCUUAGACGAAAGCAUUGAAGAAACUGGUUGGAAAUUAGUUCAUGGAGAUGUUUUUAGACCACCUCCUAAUUCACGUUUGUUUGCUGCUGUAAUAGGCAAUGGCAUUCAAAUAUUUUUUAUGGCACUUAUUACAAUAUUUUUUGCCAUGCUUGGAAUGCUUUCACCAGCAAGUAGAGGAGCAUUAGGAACUUGUGCUAUAUUUUUAUUUGUAUUCUCUGGAUCAAUUGCUGGAUAUUUUUCUGCACGUUUGUAUAAAACUAUGCGAGGACGAGAAUGGAGAAAAGCUGCGUUAUUGACAGCAACACUUUAUCCUGGUAUAGUAUUUACUACAUGUUUUUUUCUAAACUUCUUCAUAUGGGGAAAACACAGUUCAGGAGCAGUUCCAUUUACCACUAUGUUAGCAUUGCUUUGCCUAUGGUUUGGCAUUUCACUUCCCUUAGUAUAUCUUGGAUAUUUCUUUGGUUAUCGUAAACAUCCGUUUACACAUCCUGUUAGAACAAACCAAAUUCCUAGACAAAUUCCAGAUCAGUUAUGGUAUAUGAAUCCAAUAUUUUGUACAUUGAUGGCUGGCAUACUACCAUUUGGUGUUGUCUUCAUAGAAUUGUUUUUUAUUUUGACAGCACUAUGGGAAAAUCAAUUUUAUUAUCUUUUUGGAUUUUUAUUUUUAGUAUUUUGUAUUCUUGUCAUUUCUUGCUCUCAAAUAUCUGUAGUUAUGGUGUAUUUGCAACUAUGUGCAGAAGAUUACAGAUGGUGGUGGAGAAGUUUUAUAGUUAGUGGAGGAUCAGCUGUAUAUAUGUUAGCAUAUUCAAUUUUUUACUUUAUGACCAAAUUAGAAAUAACAGAAUUGGUUCCAACGCUGAUGUAUUUUGCAUAUACAGCAUUAAUGGUGCUUACAUUUUGGUUGUUAACUGGUACAAUUGGCUUCUUUGCUGCAUAUGCUUUCAUUCGCAAAAUAUAUGCAGCAGUUAAAUAGACUAGUCAUAGUUGUCAUAAAUGAACUCAGUGAAUGAUGUGCGAAUGUAACCUUAUCUAUUAGUUUAUGAGAAAUUAUACAUUUAAAAAUAAAUUAAAAAGCUUACUAAUAAGAAAGAUGGGUUAUUGAUAUUUCUCCA
RNAcentral lists this unclassified non-coding RNA (2191 nucleotides) under Polistes canadensis. RNAcentral describes it as "transmembrane 9 superfamily member 4, transcript variant X1". Lineage: Eukaryota; Metazoa; Arthropoda; Insecta; Hymenoptera; Vespidae. The record is from RNAcentral.